This 513-nucleotide ribosomal RNA is filed under the name uncultured Bacteroidota bacterium. RNAcentral's name for it is "bacterial SSU rRNA". It matches the Rfam family "Bacterial small subunit ribosomal RNA", at positions 523 to 1039 of the family's 1533-position model. Lineage: Bacteria; Pseudomonadati; Bacteroidota. The record is from RNAcentral.
AUACGAAGGGACCUAGCGUAGUUCGGAAUUACUGGGCUUAAAGAGUUCGUAGGUGGUUGAAAAAGUUGGUGGUGAAAUCCCAGAGCUUAACUCUGGAACUGCCAUCAAAACUUUUCAGCUAGAGUAUGAUAGAGGAAAGCAGAAUUUCUAGUGUAGAGGUGAAAUUCGUAGAUAUUAGAAAGAAUACCAAUUGCGAAGGCAGCUUUCUGGAUCAUUACUGACACUGAGGAACGAAAGCAUGGGUAGCGAAGAGGAUUAGAUACCCUGGUAGUCCACGCCGUAAACGAUCAUCACUCGCUGUUGGCGAUAUGCUGUCAGCGGCCAAGCGAAAGUAUUAAGUGAUGCACCUGGGGAGUACGCCGGCAACGGUGAAACUCAAAGGAAUUGACGGGGGCCCGCACAAGCGGUGGAGCAUGUGGUUUAACUCGAUGAUACGCGAGGAACCUUACCAGGGCUUAAAUGUAGUAUGACCGGCUUGGAAACAGGCCUUCUCUUCGGAGCAGAUUACAAGGU